Molecule: ribosomal RNA, 484 nt
Filed under: uncultured bacterium
Lineage: Bacteria
Description: partial 16S ribosomal RNA
Rfam family: Bacterial small subunit ribosomal RNA
Source: RNAcentral
AUUGAACGCUGGCGGCAUGCCUUACACAUGCAAGUCGAACGGCAGCACGGGGGCAACCCUGGUGGCGAGUGGCGAACGGGUGAGUAAUACAUCGGAACGUGUCCUGUAGUGGGGGAUAGCCCGGCGAAAGCCGGAUUAAUACCGCAUACGCUCUACGGAGGAAAGGGGGGGAUCUUAGGACCUCCCGCUACAGGGGCGGCCGAUGGCAGAUUAGCUAGUUGGUGGGGUAAAGGCCUACCAAGGCGACGAUCUGUAGCUGGUCUGAGAGGACGACCAGCCACACUGGGACUGAGACACGGCCCAGACUCCUACGGAAGGCAGCAGUGGGGAAUUUUGGACAAUGGGGGCAACCCUGAUCCAGCAAUGCCGCGUGUGUGAAGAAGGCCUUCGGGUUGUAAAGCACUUUUGUCCGGAAAGAAAACGCCGUGGUUAAUACCCGUGGCGGAUGACGGUACCGGAAGAAUAAGCACCGGCUAACUACGUG